RNAcentral lists this long non-coding RNA (1256 nucleotides) under Manihot esculenta (cassava). Its description in RNAcentral is "long non-coding RNA (MESC_LNC009957)". The record is from RNAcentral. Lineage: Eukaryota; Viridiplantae; Streptophyta; Magnoliopsida; Malpighiales; Euphorbiaceae.
CAUGAAUUACUGGAAGCAAGACAGCAAGAAGAGAUAAGAGAGCUGAAAGCCGCUAUAGAAUGUCUUAAGCACAAGCUGUAUGAGAAAGAAGUGGAGGUUUCUAGGUGGAAAGACACAGCAAUGCUUAUUUCAAGGCAUGCUAUGGAACCUUCCCCCCUCCUCCAAAAUACCAGCGAAGAAUUGAUUAACAAAAGCAAUAUCUCUAAGCUGUCGAAACCAAAUGAUAUGUUUGCGUACUCUGACACUGAUUCUCCACAAGGGCCACAGUUUGAAUCUCAAUACAUACCGGAGUCCUCAACAGUUUCAGCGGUUGAUCAGUCUUUGAAGUGCGAACCACCUGAAAAAGAAGAGUGUUCAGAAGAAGCAAUGGAUCAGCUCGAGGCAGAACUCCAAGCUGAGUUGGAACGCUUACAACUGCACUUGGAUGGGGAGAAGUUGAAACACUCAGAGCUAUCAAGGGUAGAGGUAAGCUGAAUUGUAUGCUUUGUGGCGUGGUAUCCUGGAACUGUUUCUAUGAACUUAGUAUACUUUCUCUGAUGGUAGAAAUCUUCGCAUAGAAAUAUAUGGAAUGAGUUCAUAACAGAUACGAAUGCUGGAAAAUAUCUUAAAUUAUAAUAUCGAUGUAUUUUCUCUUCAUGCUUUUGUUGCUUGUAGAAAGAAAACCGUGAACAAUGUCAUUUGUUUGUCUUGGAUUGGAUCUUCCCACACCCUCACUUUGAUUCAUAGAAUUGAGAUUUUGCUAGCAAUUAGGGUUUAAUUCCUUUCUGCUGUUUGCAAGGUUGAUCUUCCUGUUCCAUAUUCCUUGUUGUGUCUUCUAAAUAUCAGAGAUAUUGGAAAUUGUAGGUGACUGAUGAAGAUACUACCUGCUCGAAAAGUCAGACCAAGACUUCUGGAGAAGUGAUUGACCUUCAACCUCACGAUGUAGACACAGAUUGUGGAGUUCCUCCUGAUGAAUUGGAAAGAAGGUUGCAUGAAUUACUGGAAGCAAGACAGCAAGAAGAGAUAAGAGAGCUGGAAGCCGCCAUAGAAUGUCUUAAGCACAAGCUUUAUGAGAAAGAAGUGGAGGUUUCUUGGUGGAAAGACACAGCAAUGCUUAUUUCAAGGAAUGCUAUGGAACCUUCCCCUUUCACUUCACGCAAUGAUCCAAAAAUUAUCACUGAUAGGUGAAGAUCAAACGUGCGGGAGUUUUGAGAUUGAGAUAUUAAUCAGCUAAGGUCACCAUAUGUCUAUAACUGUAAUUGGGUUCUGAUGAUGGU